This 254-nucleotide ribosomal RNA is filed under the name uncultured bacterium. RNAcentral describes it as "partial 16S ribosomal RNA". It matches the Rfam family "Bacterial small subunit ribosomal RNA", at positions 524 to 776 of the family's 1533-position model. The record is from RNAcentral.
GACGUAGGGCGCGAGCGUUGUCCGGAUUUAUUGGGCGUAAAGAGCUCGUAGGCGGCUCGUUGCGUCGGCUGUGAAAACCCGAGGCUCAACUUCGGGCUUGCAGUCGAUACGGGCAGGCUAGAGUUCGGUAGGGGGAGACUGGAAUUCCUGGUGUAGCGGUGAAAUGCGCAGAUAUCAGGAGGAACACCGAUGGCGAAGGCAGGUCUCUGGGCCGAUACUGACGCUGAGGAGCGAAAGCGUGGGGAGCGAACAGG